Molecule: non-coding RNA, 24 nt
Filed under: Arabidopsis thaliana (thale cress)
Lineage: Eukaryota; Viridiplantae; Streptophyta; Magnoliopsida; Brassicales; Brassicaceae
Source: RNAcentral
UCGUGUGAGGAGAACUAAGAUGUG